AGCAAACAGGAUUAGAUACCCUGGUAGUCCACGCCCUAAACGAUGUCAACUAGGUGUUGGGGAAGCAAUUUCCUAGUACCGCAGCUAACGCGUGAAGUUGACCGCCUGGGGAGUACGGUCGCAAGAUUAAAACUCAAAGGAAUUGACGGGGACCCGCACAAGCGGUGGAUGAUGUGGAUUAAUUCGAUGCAACGCGAAAAACCUUACCUACCCUUGACAUGUACGGAACCCUGCAGAGAUGCAGGGGUGCUUGAAAGAGAGCCGUAACACAGGUGCUGCAUGGCUGUCGUCAGCUCGUGUCGUGAGAUGUUGGGUUAAGUCCCGCAACGAGCGCAACCCUUGUCCCUAGUUGCUACGCAAGGGCACUCUAGGGAGACUGCCGGUGACAAACCGGAGGAAGGUGGGGAUGACGUCAAGUCCUCAUGGCCCUUAUGGGUAGGGCUUCACACGUCAUACAAUGGCCGGUACAGAGGGUUGCCAAAGCGCGAGCUGGAGCCAAUCCCAGAAAGCCGGUCGUAGUCCGGAUUGCAGUCUGCAACUCGACUGCAUGAAGUCGGAAUCGCUAGUAAUCGCGGAUCAGCAUGUCGCGGUGAAUACGUUCCCGGGUCUUGUACACACCGCCCGUCACACCAUGGGAGCGGGAUGUACCAGAAGUAGGUAGGCUAACCGCAAGGGGGCCGCUU
RNAcentral lists this ribosomal RNA (683 nucleotides) under uncultured bacterium. Its description in RNAcentral is "bacterial SSU rRNA". It matches the Rfam family "Bacterial small subunit ribosomal RNA", at positions 767 to 1455 of the family's 1533-position model. The record is from RNAcentral.